RNAcentral lists this transfer RNA (75 nucleotides) under Armatimonadota bacterium. RNAcentral's name for it is "Armatimonadetes bacterium (hot springs metagenome) tRNA-Arg". It matches the Rfam family "tRNA". From Rfam's summary of the family: Transfer RNA (tRNA) molecules are approximately 80 nucleotides in length. Their secondary structure includes four short double-helical elements and three loops (D, anti-codon, and T loops). Lineage: Bacteria; Bacillati; Armatimonadota. The record is from RNAcentral.
GCCCUCGUAGCUCAGAGGAUAGAGCACCGGCCUCCGGAGCCGGGUGCGCAGGUUCGAGUCCUGUCGAGGGCGCCA